AUUGAACACUGGCGGCAUGCCUUAUACAUGCAAGUCGAACGGCAGCACGGGAGCUUGCUCCUGGUGGCGAGUGGCGAACGGGUGAGUAAUAUAUCGGAACGUGCCCAGUAGUGGGGGAUAGCCCGGCGAAAGCCGGAUUAAUACCGCAUACGAUCUACGGAUGAAAGCGGGGGAUCGCAAGACCUCGCGCUAUUGGAGCGGCCGAUAUCUGAUUAGCUAGUUGGUGAGGUAAAGGCUCACCAAGGCGACGAUCAGUAGCUGGUCUGAGAGGACGACCAGCCACACUGGAACGGAGAGACGGUCCAGACUCCUACGGGGGGCAGCAGUGGGGAAUUUUGGACAAUGGGGGAAACCCUGAUCCAGCAAUGCCGCGUGAGUGAAGAAGGCCUUCGGGUUGUAAAGCUCUUUUGUCAGGGAAGAAACGGUUCUGGCUAAUAUCCAGAGCUAAUGACGGUACCUGAAGAAUAAGCACCGGCUAACUACGUGCCAGCCGCCGCCGUAA
This 502-nucleotide ribosomal RNA is filed under the name uncultured bacterium. Its description in RNAcentral is "partial 16S ribosomal RNA". It matches the Rfam family "Bacterial small subunit ribosomal RNA", at positions 30 to 523 of the family's 1533-position model. The record is from RNAcentral.